Molecule: ribosomal RNA, 482 nt
Filed under: uncultured bacterium
Lineage: Bacteria
Description: partial 16S ribosomal RNA
Rfam family: Bacterial small subunit ribosomal RNA
Source: RNAcentral
AUUGAACGCUGGCGGCAUGCCUUACACAUGCAAGUCGAACGGUAACGGGCCUUCGGGUGCCGCCGAGUGGCGCACGGGUGAGUAAUACAUCGGAACGUGCCCGAUCGUGGGGGAUAACGAGGCGAAAGCUUUGCUAAUACCGCAUACGAUCUACGGAUGAAAGCAGGGGACCGCAAGGCCUUGCGCGGACGGAGCGGCCGAUGGCAGAUUAGGUAGUUGGUGGGAUAAAAGCUUACCAAGCCGACGAUCUGUAGCUGGUCUGAGAGGAUGAUCAGCCACACUGGGACUGAGACACGGCCCAGACUCCUACGGGAGGCAGCAGUGGGGAAUUUUGGACAAUGGGCGCAAGCCUGAUCCAGCCAUGCCGCGUGCAGGAUGAAGGCCUUCGGGUUGUAAACUGCUUUUGUACGGAACGAAAAGCCUUCUUUUAAUACAGGAGGGUCAUGACGGUACCGUAAGAAUAAGCACCGGCUAACUACGUG